RNAcentral lists this long non-coding RNA (238 nucleotides) under Phoenix dactylifera (date palm). RNAcentral describes it as "long non-coding RNA (PDAC_LNC009332)". The record is from RNAcentral. Lineage: Eukaryota; Viridiplantae; Streptophyta; Magnoliopsida; Arecales; Arecaceae.
GAGGGGGCUGAGAAUAAAGCUUUCGGUCAACAUGUCCUUGACACUAGCAUAGGUCGUCAACUGAGGGACUGUGAGCUAAUUUGGCUAGGUUAGAUUUAGAGGUUUGAUUUCAUUCCUACUCCAAACAAUAAUAAAAAUAUAAAAUAUUAUAAUUAUUAGUAUAAAUUAAUUCUUCAUAAUAUAACAUAAUAUUAAAUUAUUUAACAUAUAUUAUGAUACAGUGUAAUAUAAUAUUAUA